RNAcentral lists this long non-coding RNA (780 nucleotides) under Heterocephalus glaber (naked mole-rat). RNAcentral's name for it is "lncRNA (ENSHGLG00000048023.1)". Lineage: Eukaryota; Metazoa; Chordata; Mammalia; Rodentia; Bathyergidae. The record is from RNAcentral.
CCUAAAUCAAAGAUCACACACUGACUUAAUAAACAGGUCCAGGAUGGUAGAAAUGAACAAAUGAAAUUGUUUGAGUAUAAGAAAAACCAAUGGUCACAAAAAAUGGGCUCAAUCUUUCUCUGUUUUUAUAGGAAAUGGAUUUCAAAGAGAGAAACUGGACUGUGACUAACAGCUAAUGUAAAUUCAAAGGGCUAAAUCUGAAUUCACUCCCUGUUAGUGAAAUAUGAGGAGGUUGAAAGUGAGUCGUCAGGUGACUCAGCUAGCAAUGAUGACUUGGAUUAUGUAAACCAAAGAAGAUAGCAAGAUAUGACAGAGAAGUACAGAAUGAAGACCUUGAUUCUGAUGAGGAAGAAAAUGGUAAUAUUAAUAAAUAUCUGACUAGCCAAAAUGCUAUGAAAUGGUCAUGUAUACCUGAACAUUGUUAGAGCUAUGUCAGAAAAUGUUAUUAAGUUCUUUCCAGGGGUGAAACUUACUGGAUGGAAUGCUAGCACUGCAAUUCAAUGUUGGAAAUUUUAAUGGAACAUAUGGCAUAAGAUUAUGUCAAAUACACUAAUAAUGAAAUACCAAAAAAAAGAAGAAGAAAAGAAAAACAGCCUGAUAAUAAAAGGCAAAAAUCCAAGGCCACACUGGGAGGUACAGGAAGUAGCAGAGGCUAGAGAAAUGGAGCCAUGUGACUUCAUCUGAAGCCUAGAGCAGCUGCUCAGCUCAGUUCUAGCCAGCUGUGCCCAUGGACAAAGAGGUUUGGUGUCUUAAUGAGUUGUGUGGCAUUGGCAACAGCUG